AAGCAUUUCAGUGAUAUCAUCAAAUAGAACUUUGCUCCACUAUUACUUUUCUAUAUACUGUAGAAAUAAACAGAAAUCUCUGCCAUUUACAUUAAGAAACUAAGAAUGUGCAUUGCUGUUAAUGAUGGAAGGGUUUGUACUUCAAAAAAGCAGUGCUUAAGGCUUUGAAGAAACCUGGACCUGGUGAGAAAUUACGUGUAAAAGAUGCAGAGUCCAACCGCAUGAAAAAGAAGGCUUUUUUGGUGAUUGUGCUUAUUCUGAUUUUCAUGGUUAUUACUUAUUUGCCAAUGAUGAUAUUCAUGUUUCUCAUUGAUUAUCUAUCAGCUAUACAGAUAUGGAAGGGUCUGGCAGUGUUUUACUACUUUACGAUAUUUGCUGGAUUUGUGUAUCCAUUUCUGUAUCUUCACAGGAGUCCAACCGCAUGAAAAAGAAGGCUUUUUUGGUG
Long non-coding RNA from Ictalurus punctatus (channel catfish), 445 nucleotides. The record is from Ensembl. Lineage: Eukaryota; Metazoa; Chordata; Actinopteri; Siluriformes; Ictaluridae.